RNAcentral lists this ribosomal RNA (284 nucleotides) under Streptomyces anulatus. RNAcentral describes it as "partial 16S ribosomal RNA". It matches the Rfam family "Bacterial small subunit ribosomal RNA", at positions 1 to 287 of the family's 1533-position model. Lineage: Bacteria; Bacillati; Actinomycetota; Actinomycetes; Kitasatosporales; Streptomycetaceae. The record is from RNAcentral.
CAUUCACGGAGAGUUUGAUCCUGGCUCAGGACGAACGCUGGCGGCGUGCUUAACACAUGCAAGUCGAACGAUGAAGCCCUUCGGGGUGGAUUAGUGGCGAACGGGUGAGUAACACGUGGGCAAUCUGCCCUUCACUCUGGGACAAGCCCUGGAAACGGGGUCUAAUACCGGAUAACACUCUGUCCCGCAUGGGACGGGGUUAAAAGCUCCGGCGGUGAAGGAUGAGCCCGCGGCCUAUCAGCUUGUUGGUGGGGUAAUGGCCUACCAAGGCGACGACGGGUAGC